This 364-nucleotide ribosomal RNA is filed under the name uncultured bacterium. Its description in RNAcentral is "partial 16S ribosomal RNA". It matches the Rfam family "Bacterial small subunit ribosomal RNA", at positions 338 to 699 of the family's 1533-position model. The record is from RNAcentral.
CCUACGGGAGGCAGCAGUGAGGAAUAUUGGUCAAUGGGCGGAAGCCUGAACCAGCCAAGUAGCGUGCAGGAUGACGGCCCUACGGGUUGUAAACUGCUUUUAUACGGGAAUAACGCGCCUUACGUGUAGGGCUUUGCAUGUACCGUAUGAAUAAGGACCGGCUAAUUCCGUGCCAGCAGCCGCGGUAAUACGGACGGUCCGGGCGUUAUCCGGAUUUAUGGGGUUUAAAGGGAGCGUAGGCCGCAUGUGAAGCGUGCUGUGAAAUGUCCGGGCCCAAACCGGGCCUUGCAGCGGAAACGGGUCGGCUGGAGUGUAGGAGCGGGAGGUAGAAUGCCUGGUGUAGCGGUGAAAUGCGUAGAGAUCA